CUGACGGUACCUUCAAAGGAAGCACCGGCUAACUCCGUGCCAGCAGCCGCGGUAAUACGGAUGGUGCGAGCGUUAAUCGGAAUUACUGGGCGUAAAGCGCACGUAGGCUGUAAUGUAAGUCAGGGGUGAAAUCCCACGGCUCAACCGUGGAACUGCCUUUGAAACUGCACAACUUGAAUCCGGGAGAGGGUGGCGGAAUUCCAAGUGUAGGAGUGAAAUCCGUAGAUAUCUGGAGGAACAUCAGUGGCGAAGGCGGCCACCUGGACCGGUAUUGACGCUGAGGUGCGAAAGCGUGGGGAGCAAACAGGAUUAAAUACCCUGGUAGUCCACGCUGUAAACGAUGGAUGCUAGAUGUCGGGGA
This 361-nucleotide ribosomal RNA is filed under the name uncultured Desulfovibrio sp. RNAcentral describes it as "bacterial SSU rRNA". It matches the Rfam family "Bacterial small subunit ribosomal RNA", at positions 469 to 829 of the family's 1533-position model. The record is from RNAcentral. Lineage: Bacteria; Pseudomonadati; Thermodesulfobacteriota; Desulfovibrionia; Desulfovibrionales; Desulfovibrionaceae.